Molecule: ribosomal RNA, 465 nt
Filed under: Vreelandella stevensii
Lineage: Bacteria; Pseudomonadati; Pseudomonadota; Gammaproteobacteria; Oceanospirillales; Halomonadaceae
Description: partial 16S ribosomal RNA
Rfam family: Bacterial small subunit ribosomal RNA
Source: RNAcentral
CCUACGGGCGGCAGCAGUGGGGAAUAUUGGACAAUGGGGGGAACCCUGAUCCAGCCAUGCCGCGUGUGUGAAGAAGGCCCUCGGGUUGUAAAGCACUUUCAGUGAGGAAGAACGCCUGGUGGUUAAUACCCAUCAGGAAAGACAUCACUCACAGAAGAAGCACCGGCUAACUCCGUGCCAGCAGCCGCGGUAAAACGGAGGGUGCGAGCGUUAAUCGGAAUUACUGGGCGUAAAGCGCGCGUAGGUGGCUUGAUAAGCCGGUUGUGAAAGCCCCGGGCUCAACCUGGGAACGGCAUCCGGAACUGUCAAGCUAGAGUGCAGGAGAGGAAGGUAGAAUUCCCGGUGUAGCGGUGAAAUGCGUAGAGAUCGGGAGGAAUACCAGUGGCGAAGGCGGCCUUCUGGACUGACACUGACACUGAGGUGCGAAAGCGUGGGUAGCAAACAGGAUUAGAUACCCUAGUAGUC